UCUUUUAUCUCUAAAAUUAUGGUGGCUAAAGUUGAACUGAAACUCUGGGGGCGAAAUAACUUUCAAUAACUUUCCGUUAUAUUGGCCCGGUAGCAGAACGUACUGUUAAUUGUUCAGUGAGAGCCCCGUACGGCAUCAGAAGUGAUAAUGUGGACAUGAGUAAAAAAUCAUAGGAUCACUCCCCCCCUGGUUUCCCAUAUUAAUUAUGGGGUUAAACAGCCCCUAAAAUCGCAGUCCCAAAGGUUGCGUUGAUGGGGGGCCAUGAGUAAUAGACGCACAAAGUGCCAGGAAAGAAUUAUUCAAGCCCUUCCCAGAAGGUAUCCUUCCCAGAAGGUAUCCUUCUGGCAAGGGUACUGUACUAAACUAACUAAAGUGGGGGAUAGUGAGGGGAUAAAUUUUCUUAAGGAACUCGGCCAAAUCCCAAUGGCCCACCAGGGCAUAUUGGAACACGGGCCUCGACUGUUUACCAAAAACAUAGCCCUCGGCUAAUAUGAAAAUAGAUGUAUAGAGGGUGAUGCCUGCCCAAUGGUUGUAUCUAAAAGCGGUUGAUAAAAGUCGACCUCGUAAGGACAAUUGAAUGGCCGCGGUAACACUGACCGUGAUAAUGUAGCGUAAUCAAUAGCCAAUUAAUUGUUGGCCAGUAUGAAUGGCGCCACGAAGGCCCCACUGUCUUAAGGAAAUUCCCAGUGAAAUUGAAUUCGUAGUGAAGAUGCUACGUGCAAUUUGUUAGACGAAAAGACCCCGUUGAGCUUUACUGGAGCACUUACAUGGCCCUGGCCUUCCCAUGCUUGGGAACCGGCCGAAUUUCCCUAUCAAAUGAUAGGCUACUAGAAAAUGGGCGGCUUAGAUUAUGUGGCAGCCCCCCGCUGGGGCAAAUGAAACCCCACUCCCCCAUGUCAAAGGGGCUAACCCCCCCCCUUGGGGGGACAGUGUAAGUAGGACAGUUUGGUUGGGGCGACCGCCUUUUAAAGAGUAACGAAGGUGCGCUUAAGGUGCGCAAUUAAUGACUGAAGCCUGACUGCGAGGGGGACACCCCGAGCAGACACCCCAAAGCCCGCCCGAAGGGCGGCGGUGGGGUGGGCCAUAGUGACCCGUUAAUUUAGAGUGGAAUAGUUAACGAUCAACGAAUAAAAGUUACCACGGGGAUAACAGCGUAAUAUCGUUAGAGAGUUCACAUCGACGACGAUGUUUGCGACCUCGAUG
This 1203-nucleotide ribosomal RNA is filed under the name Neozoanthus uchina. RNAcentral's name for it is "partial large subunit ribosomal RNA". It matches the Rfam family "Bacterial large subunit ribosomal RNA", at positions 1155 to 2531 of the family's 2925-position model. Lineage: Eukaryota; Metazoa; Cnidaria; Anthozoa; Zoantharia; Neozoanthidae. The record is from RNAcentral.